This is a long non-coding RNA of Polypterus senegalus (gray bichir), 1001 nucleotides long. RefSeq lists it as uncharacterized. The transcript has 2 exons. NCBI's taxonomy places the organism in Eukaryota, Metazoa, Chordata, Cladistia, Polypteriformes, Polypteridae. The record is from RefSeq and is a predicted model, not a curated record.
AGCAGCCUUUCCGCACGUGUGCGAGGAGUGUAACGUUGAGUUGGGGGGUGUUCGAGGUAAGGAAGUGAAAUCCGUGCCUUAACUGCUUGAUUUUAUGGAUCUUCACUAUCGCAUACUGAGUAGUGGAAAAGGCGGCCAUUCCUUUAAGCAUAUAUGCUGGUAUAAAUGCAGGGAGUGUUUGGAAAGUAGUGAAAGUGAAAUCCUGAGGCAGAUGGCGCUCUUCAGUUUAGCUUAUUGUUGGGACAUUAAGUGAUUGAGAGACUUUGAAAGUUAAAGAAUGUAUUGACAUUUCAGUGUCUAAUUCAAUAAAUUAUCCUCGGAUUUUCAAAUGUUUACCUUUGGAUAAUAUAACUCCAUUGUUGUGACUAUCUGGGUAUGUUAAGAAGAAAAUUCCAAUUUUAGCAUUUGUUAUACAGUCACUGUCCUUCGUUGCAUUACUUUUUUGAAUUAAUUCAAAUGGGGAUCGGUGUAAAACAAAUUUUUGCCACUAAAAUGUAUUUAAACAUUUAGGUAAAUUGAGUAAAUUUUUUACCAUGUGGGCAGAAGGGGAGAGGGGCUCAUGACAAUUUCAACUGUUGGACAGCCUUAAAUCUAGGAGGUGGCAUCAACUGACGUAUGAUGUAAAUGGGUUACCUACUGCAUUAGUUUUAAAUGUGAGUAAAGUGGGCAUCUUGCCCAUAACUGCAGGAAGAACAUGCCAGCUAUAGUACAAGAGGUGAACAAUCGGGAUACAGUGACUAUAGUAAUGAGAGGUACCCGUCUCCUGGAUAUGGGACACUGGGGGGGAAAUAGCACUGUUCAUUCAAUGUAAAUUCUUUCAAACAACUUUAAGAAAUCAUUUAGUGUUGUAACUUGAAAUUUGGUUUCAAAAUGAUUUUCUCCACAGUGGGUUCAAUAAGAAUUAAAUGUAUUAGUAAUAAUUAUUACCUUAAGUCAAAUGGAGGUUAUACUUUAAAAGAGAUUUUUUUACCAUAAACUGAAUAAAGAGAAUUUCAAAUCCA